This 60-nucleotide transfer RNA is filed under the name Cricetulus griseus (Chinese hamster). It matches the Rfam family "tRNA", at positions 8 to 63 of the family's 71-position model. Rfam says of the family: Transfer RNA (tRNA) molecules are approximately 80 nucleotides in length. Their secondary structure includes four short double-helical elements and three loops (D, anti-codon, and T loops). Further hydrogen bonds mediate the characteristic L-shaped molecular structure. tRNAs have two regions of fundamental functional importance: the anti-codon, which is responsible for specific mRNA codon recognition, and the 3' end, to which the tRNAs corresponding amino acid is attached (by aminoacyl-tRNA synthetases). tRNAs cope with the degeneracy of the genetic code in two manners: having more than one tRNA (with a specific anti-codon) for a particular amino acid; and 'wobble' base-pairing, i.e. permitting non-standard base-pairing at the 3rd anti-codon position. The record is from Rfam by way of RNAcentral. Lineage: Eukaryota; Metazoa; Chordata; Mammalia; Rodentia; Cricetidae.
UAGCUCAGUCAGUAGAGCAUGAGACUCUUAAUCUCAGAGUCGUGGGUUUGUGCCCCCCAC